This 1489-nucleotide ribosomal RNA is filed under the name uncultured Bordetella sp. RNAcentral's name for it is "partial 16S-23S ribosomal RNA intergenic spacer". It matches the Rfam family "Bacterial small subunit ribosomal RNA". The record is from RNAcentral. Lineage: Bacteria; Pseudomonadati; Pseudomonadota; Betaproteobacteria; Burkholderiales; Alcaligenaceae.
GGUUUGAUUAUGGCUCAGAUUGAACGCUGGCGGGAUGUUUUACACAUGCAAGUCGAACGGCAGCACGGACUUCGGUCUGGUGGCGAGUGGCGAACGGGUGGAGUAAUGUAUCGGAACGUGCCUAGUGGCGUGGGGAUAACUACGCGAAAGCGUAUUAAUACCGCAUACGCGCCCUUCGGGGGAAAGCGGGGGGACCUUCGGGCCUCGCACUAUUAGAGCGGCUGAUAUCGGAUUAGCUAGUUGGUGGGGUAACGGCUCACCAAGGCGACGAUCCGUGGCUGGUUUGAGAGGACGACCAGCCACACUGGGACUGAGACACGGCCCAGACUCCUACGGGAGGCAGCAGUGGGAAUUUGGACAAUGGGGGAAACUCCUGAUCCAGCCAAUUCUGGCGUGUGCGAUGAAGGCCUUCGGGUUGUAAAGCACUUUUGGCAGGAAAGAAACGGCACGGGAUAAUACCCCGUGCAACUGACGGUACCUGCAGAAUAAGCACCGGCUAACUACGUGCCAGCAGCCGCGGUAAUACGUAGGGUGCAAGCGUUAAUCGGAAUUAUCAGCGUAAAGCGUGCGGCAGGCGGUUCGGAAAGAAAGAUGUGAAAUCCUAGAGCUUAACUUUGGAACUGCAUUUUUAACUACCGAGCUAGAGUGUGUCAGAGGGAGGUGGAAUUCCGCGUGUAGCAGUGAAAUGCGUAGAUAUGCGGAGGAACACCGAUGGCGAAGCAGCCUCCUGGGAUAACACUGACGCUCAUGCACGAAAGCGUGGGGAGCAAACAGGAUUAGAUACCCUGUAGUCCACGCCCUAAACGAUGUCAACUAGCUGUUGGGGCCUUCGGCCUUGGUAGCGCAGCUAACGCGGUGAAGUUGACCGCCUGGGGAGUACGGUCGCAAGAUUAAAAACUCAAAGGAAUUGACGGGGACCCGCACAAGCGGUGGAUGAUGUGGAUUAAUUCGAUGCAACGCGAAAACCUUACCUACCCUUGACAUGUCUGGAAUCCCGAAGAGAUUUGGGAGUGCUCGCAAGAGAACCGGAACACAGGUGCUGCAUGGCUGUCGUCAGCUCGUGUCGAGAUGUUGGGUUAAGUCCCGCAACGAGCGCAACCCUUGUCAUUAGUUGCUACGAAAGGGCACUCUAAUGAGACUGCCGGUGACAAACCGGAGGAAGGUGGGGAUGACGUCAAGUCCUCAUGGCCCUUAUGGGUAGGGCUUCACACGUCAUACAAUGGUCGGGACAGAGGGUCGCCAACCCGCGAGGGGGAGCCAAUCCCAGAAACCCGAUCGUAGUCCGGAUCGCAGUCUGCAACUCGGACUGCGUGAAGUCGGAAUCGCUAAAGACCGUGAUCAGCAUGUCGCGGUGAAUACGUUCCCGGGUCUUGUACACACCGCCCGUCACACCAUGGGAGUGGGUUUUACCAGAAGUAGUUAGCCUAACCGUAAGGAGGGCGAUUACCACGGUAGGAUUCAUGACUGGGGUGAAGUCGUAACAAGGUAA